GCUUAUUCGAGUGUUGAAACAAAUCGAUAAGUUUGUUCCGGAGGACGAUAAGCUGGAAAUCGAAUCGUGUUUAUUCCAGCUGCGUUCGACCAAGGACGUAAUGGAGGCCAUCGCUGCGUCCCAAUGCUUUGGAAAUCAGUGCAACCUUACAUCGGUAUUCAAUCGAUUGAAGAUUACCGAAAGCCAUGGCCGUCGUAUUGCAGAAACUUAAACUGGACUACGAGCCUUCAGCGGAAUCUAGCUUCAUUUCUUUCUCCAAACAACUUCCCUUCGGAGGGUUGCUCGGCGUGCAGCUGCUCACGGAGACCGUUCGCCAGAUGAUCCAGCUGCGCUACAUGGUGGUGCGCAAUCUGAUUGUGCUGCAGCACUUGCUGCUGAACAACUUCGCCCUCAAUUGCAACGCCAUGGAAAUCAUUCGCUCCAAGUGCAUUCCGGACAGUGAAGUUUUCCUGCAGUCGUACUACGUCAUGAACUGGAUUGCAGAGUCGACGGUGGACUAUGCGGCCGUUAGAAGCAAAUCUCUGGAAAGCGACGUCUCGUUGGUAAUCGGUUAUGAGGAGGCGUAUGCGUUCGAAUACAUAUCCCUGUUGCAUCUGUUUGUGGCCACACGGGGAUUGAAAACCUGCAUGGCAUCCGAAGAGGGUCAACGCAUCGCGUCCAGUUCCGAGUGGUUCUCAGUAUUGCUGGAUAUCUCCAACGGUUUAUUGCGGCUUAUAUGGCCAGUGGCAGGGGAUUUUACGUUUGGACAAUGGCUAAUGCAGGGAGAAAUGCACACCUUCAUUGAGGAAUACGUUCGUUUGCUCAACUCUUGGUGUGAAUGGAACAACUGUUCACGUAAUUUCAUCCUGGCCAAAUCGUACCUGAUGAACGGAGAGAAUGCGAAAGCUCUGGACCUGUUCCCCCAAUCCGCGAAGGGAAUCCUCAAGGAACCGUAUCUCAUAAACUUCACCAAACCUUCCGAUUCGUCAUCGGUACCGCCCGACGAGAUGCUCAGCAUAUUCUACCUGAAGGUCAUUCGUCUGUUUGAACAUUAUGGCGCGUACGACUGCAUCAACGUUUUGGCGCAGAUUGCAAUCGGCACGUCUGUUCACAGCAAGCAACAGGCCAUGUUCCAAAGUAUCGACUUCAGCAGCCACAUGGAGUUGGGCCACUACGAGGAAGCGUACCAUUCGUUGGUGUACAAUUGCGAGAUCACGAGGAAGAAGGAUUGCUUGCGGCAACUGGUGUGGCGGCUGUUCCAAGCGAAAAAAUUCAACGUGUUGGUGGACCUGCCAUAUUAUGGCUUGGAGGCCGAUUUCCAGAACAUUAUGGAAAUGCACGCCCGUUCGGUGGAAAUUUCGGAAAAUAGUCACUAUGAUUUCCUGUAUUCGUACCACAUUCUGCAGGGAAAUAUGCGGAAAGCUGCCCUGAUUGCAUACGAAAAAGCAAUGCGAUGUCACCUAGAGUGCAACUCGUUGGUAUUCUUGAAGAUGCGCUGCGAAGCAUUGCUCAAGUGUAUCAACGCUCUCAAUCUGGUGGUUCCUGAGUACGCUUGGAUUGCAAAGCCAUCUAUUUUCAAGGAAAGCAAAUCGCAAGAAGAGUCGACUCCACAGAUCGAGGUGAUUAGUCUGCAGGACGUUCGUAAGGAACUGAUGGUAACCGAAGCAGUAUUGGAAAUCUCCAAACAUUUGGAUGAUUAUCGGGCGGUUCUCGACGUGGACACCAACGAACUGAUUAUCAUUCUGGCCAACUCUAAACUGUAUUCGACGGCUUUCAAAUUGGCCCACGCACUGGACAAAAGCGUUUUGCCGGUGUACGAAAGUUUGGCGACGUCCGUGUGUUAUGUGCAGUCUACAGGAAUCCGCCGACAAUUGGGAUUGGUUACAUAAGAACAAUUUAGCAGAUUCAGUUAUCAGCCAAGACAGCACGGAUACCGCAUGGAAAUUUUUGCAGCAUUGCUUAUCGAAUGAAACUAAGGACCAAGAAGCGUGUCACGUCAUGGCUAUGAAUCAGAUCAUUUCGAAAAAUGCUUUUCCACCGCAGUGGCUAACCGACUGGUGUAUGAACAAGACGCCAACAAAGCUUCUGCAGCUCUACAUCAACUACGGUCGCUUAGAGGAAGCUUUCGACAUUGCCGUGAAGUUGAUCCAAGCGCAGCUGAUAAGGCCGCAGUUCGAUUACGGCGUUGCAUUUCAAUCGAUUCCUACUCCCGGUCACAUUGAUUGAUCGGCUUCAAUAUGAGCUUAGCAAGGAGGUUAAAUUUCAAGAGAAAACCAAUCUGCUGGGUCAACUUAUCGGUUGCAUAGCGAAGUAGGUAACUAAUCUAAUGUUUAUAGCAUACGAAAGUAAUUUUCUUUAAAAAUGUAUUUCAAUUUCCUCAACUUGAA
RNA transcript from Aedes aegypti (yellow fever mosquito), 2366 nucleotides. It is a transcript of the gene named nuclear pore complex protein Nup160 homolog, with no coding region annotated. The record is from RefSeq and is a predicted model, not a curated record. NCBI's taxonomy places the organism in Eukaryota, Metazoa, Arthropoda, Insecta, Diptera, Culicidae. The transcript has 11 exons.